Molecule: ribosomal RNA, 463 nt
Filed under: uncultured bacterium
Lineage: Bacteria
Description: partial 16S ribosomal RNA
Rfam family: Bacterial small subunit ribosomal RNA
Source: RNAcentral
GACGAACGCUGGCGGCGUGCUUAACACAUGCAAGUCGAACGGAAAGGCCUUUUCGGAGGUACUCGAGUGGCGAACGGGUGAGUAACACGUGGGUGAUCUGCCCUGCACUCUGGGAUAAGCCUGGGAAACUGGGUCUAAUACCGGAUAGGACCGCACUUUAGUGUGUGUGGUGGAAAGUUUUUUCGGUGUAGGAUGAGCCCGCGGCCUAUCAGCUUGUUGGUGGGGUAAUGGCCUACCAAGGCGGCGACGGGUAGCCGGACUGAGAGGUUGGUCGGCCACAUUGGGACUGAGAGACGGCCCAGACUCCUACGGGAGGCAGCAGUGGGGAAUAUUGCACAAUGGGCGCAAGCCUGAUGCAGCGACGCCGCGGGGGGGAUGACGGCCUUCGGGUUGGAAACUCCUUUCGCCAGGGACGAAGCGUUUUGUGACGGUACCUGGAGAAGAAGCACCGGCUAACUACGUG